RNAcentral lists this transfer RNA (72 nucleotides) under Camelus bactrianus (Bactrian camel). It matches the Rfam family "tRNA". Rfam says of the family: Transfer RNA (tRNA) molecules are approximately 80 nucleotides in length. Their secondary structure includes four short double-helical elements and three loops (D, anti-codon, and T loops). Further hydrogen bonds mediate the characteristic L-shaped molecular structure. tRNAs have two regions of fundamental functional importance: the anti-codon, which is responsible for specific mRNA codon recognition, and the 3' end, to which the tRNAs corresponding amino acid is attached (by aminoacyl-tRNA synthetases). tRNAs cope with the degeneracy of the genetic code in two manners: having more than one tRNA (with a specific anti-codon) for a particular amino acid; and 'wobble' base-pairing, i.e. permitting non-standard base-pairing at the 3rd anti-codon position. The record is from Rfam by way of RNAcentral. Lineage: Eukaryota; Metazoa; Chordata; Mammalia; Artiodactyla; Camelidae. RNAcentral also lists the same sequence under 2 other names.
GAAGGGAUAGGUCAGUGGUAGAGCUUGUGCUUAGCAUGCACAAGAUCCUGGGUUCAAUCCCCACUAUCUCCA